AUGGAUUCGCUGGCUCUCGCCUGCUGCACCGCGUCCCUAAUCAUUCUAUUCCUGCCUUUUAAUGCUUCCGUCGACCGGCUUGUCCCUGGCAAGCCGCUGUCUCCUGGCAACACCAUCGUCUCCGACGGCGGCGUAUUCGCCUUGGGCUUCUUCAACCCCUCCAACUCCACACCAACCAAGUUGUACCUUGGCAUAUGGUACAAUGAUAUCCCCGAGCUCACAGUUGUGUGGGUUGCCAACCGUGAAACCCCAAUCACCAACAACACCUCCUCUGCGCCGAUGCUAUCCCUCACCAACACCUCCAAUCUCGUUCUCUCCUACGGUAAUAGCAGCGGCCGUGUCCUUUGGACAACAACCAACGUGACCACUGCCCUGGGCACGUCUACCCAGACGGCGGUGCUUCUGAACACUGGAAACCUCGUCAUCCGGUCGUCAAAUGGCACCAUGUUGUGGCAAAGCUUCGACCACCGCACCGACACACUCCUUCCUGGGAUGAAGCUCCGGAUCAAAUAUAGGACGCGCCACACUGCCGAGCGUCUAGUAUCCUGGAAGGGCCCUAGCGAUCCCUCGCCAGGGCGCUUCUCCUACGGCAGCGACCCAGACACACCUCUCCAAACAUUCAUGUGGGAUGGACAGAGCUUGGUGUUCCGCGACACCCCAUGGACAGGGUACCAAGUGAAGAGCGCAAUCCAACGACAUGAAGCAGGGACUAACAUCAGUGAUCUUAUCAUGUACCUAGCCUUUGUGGAAAAUGGCGAUGAGAUUUAUGCCACAUAUAGCCUCUCGGACGGCGCUCCACUCACAAGGUCAGUGAUUACCUACUCUGGCGAGUACCAGCUCCAGAGCUGGAGCAGCAGGUCAUCAAUGUGGGAUGUCCUUUGGAAGUGGCCAUCUGCUGAAUGUAACCGCUAUGGUUACUGCGGUCCAUAUGGCUAUUGCGAUGAGACAUCGGCGCCAAUCCCAUCCUGUAAGUGCCUAGAUGGCUUCGAGCCAAGAAACAUGGAGGAGUGGACUAGUGGCAGGUUCUUGGCGGGGUGUCAGAGGAAGGAGCAGCUGCAUAGUUGCGGUGAUAGCUUCUUGGCCUUGCCAGGGAUGAAGUCGCCUGACAAAAUUGAGCUCGUUGAACGGGGCAGAAGUACGUUUGAGGAGUGCGCCGCGGAGUGCAACCGCAACUGCUCUUGUAAGGGUUACGUGUAUCGUAAUGUGAGCAGUGAUGGAGAUGUGAUGAUGUGCUUGGUGUGGUCUGGGGAAUUGAUUGACACCGGGAAGGUAGGGGUAGAGCUUGGCGGCGAGACACUCUAUCUCCGACUUGCAGGCUUGGAUGCAGGAGGAGGUAAAAGGAGAAAGAUUAAUGCAGGCAAGAUUGUGCUACCAAUUUUAGGCGGUGGUGCUCUAGUACUUAUAUGCAUCUCUCUUGCAUGGUUAAAAUGCAAAGGCAAGAGCAGAAAAUGGAGAAAGCACAAGAAUAUAAGAUUAGAUGGUAUGCAUACCUCCGCUGAGCUUGGAGAAGAAAACCCUCCUCGUGAUCAGGAAUUUACAUUUAUAAGAUUAGAAGAAAUUUCCCUCGCAACCCACAAUUUCUCUGAAGCAUACAUGAUUGGACAAGGAGGCUUUGGAAAAGUUUACAAGGGACUGUUAGGUGGAAAAGAAGUUGCAAUCAAAAGGCUAAGUAGAGAUUCUCAACAGGGAACAAAAGAAUUCAGGAAUGAAGUAAUUCUAAUUGCAAAAUUGCAACAUAGAAACUUGGUUCGACUUCUUGGAUGUUGUGGUGACGGAGAUGAAAAGCUCUUGAUAUAUGAGUAUCUCCCUAACAAGAGCUUAGAUGCUAUCCUUUUUGACGACUCAAGAAAGCUCUCGUUGAAUUGGGUGACACGAUUUAGUAUAAUCAAAGGGGUUGCAAGGGGGCUUCUAUAUCUUCACGAAGACUCAAGGUUCACCAUAAUACAUAGGGACCUCAAACCUGGAAAUAUUUUGCUGGAUGCAGAUAUGAAACCCAAGAUAGCAGAUUUUGGUAUGGCGAGGAUCUUUGGUGAUCACCAGCAAAAUGCAAAUACGCAACGCGUAGUUGGAACAUAUGGUUACAUGGCUCCUGAGUAUGCAAUGGAAGGCAUCUUCUCUACCAAGUCUGACGUCUAUAGCUUUGGAGUGUUGCUACUAGAGGUUGUAACUGGUAUAAGGAUGAAUUCUAAUAGUGAAACCAUGGGUUUCCCUAGCCUCACAGUCUAUGCAUGGAAUAUGUGGAAGGAAGAGAAGACUGAGGAACUACCAGACUCAUCUAUCAUAGAGAUUUCGACAGAAGAAGUUCUGCUUUGUGUCAAGAUAGGACUCUUGUGUAUCCAGGAGAACCCAGAUGAUAGACCGCUCAUGUCAUCUGUUGUGUUCGUCCUAGAGAAUGGAAGCACCACACUUGCAGCGCCUAGCCGCCCAGCCUACUUUGCACGACGAGGUGCUGAAAUCGAUCAAAUCAGAAAUAAUAUCGAGACUUCCGUCAACAGUUUUAGUCUUUCUCAGAUAGAGGGGCGAUGA
This 2526-nucleotide ribosomal RNA is filed under the name Triticum aestivum (bread wheat). RNAcentral describes it as "partial small subunit ribosomal RNA". Lineage: Eukaryota; Viridiplantae; Streptophyta; Magnoliopsida; Poales; Poaceae. The record is from RNAcentral.